This 610-nucleotide ribosomal RNA is filed under the name Marinobacter sp. RNAcentral's name for it is "bacterial SSU rRNA". It matches the Rfam family "Bacterial small subunit ribosomal RNA", at positions 44 to 644 of the family's 1533-position model. Lineage: Bacteria; Pseudomonadati; Pseudomonadota; Gammaproteobacteria; Pseudomonadales; Marinobacteraceae. The record is from RNAcentral.
GGGCAGCUUACCAUGCAAGUCGAGCGGUAACAGGGGGUGCUUGCACCCCGCUGACGAGCGGCGGACGGGUGAGUAAUGCAUAGGAAUCUGCCCAGUAGUGGGGGAUAGCCCGGGGAAACCCGGAUUAAUACCGCAUACGCCCUUUGGGGGAAAGCAGGGGAUCUUCGGACCUUGCGCUAUUGGAUGAGCCUAUGUCGGAUUAGCUAGUUGGUGGGGUAAAGGCCUACCAAGGCGACGAUCCGUAGCUGGUCUGAGAGGAUGAUCAGCCACAUCGGGACUGAGACACGGCCCGAACUCCUACGGGAGGCAGCAGUGGGGAAUAUUGGACAAUGGGGGCAACCCUGAUCCAGCCAUGCCGCGUGUGUGAAGAAGGCUUUCGGGUUGUAAAGCACUUUCAGUGAGGAGGAAAACCUUCUGGUUAAUACCCAUGAGGCUUGACGUUACUCACAGAAGAAGCACCGGCUAACUCCGUGCCAGCAGCCGCGGUAAUACGGAGGGUGCAAGCGUUAAUCGGAAUUACUGGGCGUAAAGCGCGCGUAGGUGGUUUGAUAAGCGAGAUGUGAAAGCCCCGGGCUUAACCUGGGAACGGCAUUUCGAACUGUCAGGCUAG